This is a long non-coding RNA of Cavia porcellus (domestic guinea pig), 4665 nucleotides long. RefSeq lists it as uncharacterized. The transcript is spliced from 6 exons. Lineage: Eukaryota; Metazoa; Chordata; Mammalia; Rodentia; Caviidae. The record is from RefSeq and is a predicted model, not a curated record.
UUCAAAUCCCAGCGCAAUGAUCUGAGUGAUUUAACCUCCUAGUAUCUCAGUUUCCUCCUCCGAAACAGCGUGGAAUCCGAUAACCAAGGUUAUCUGGAGGAGCCCGUGACUUAGCCCUGGUGCCAAGUUCGUCCUCGGCGUCCGGAGCGGAGCUGCUGGGCCGAGCAGGAGAAGCCCGCGACCGGCCUCACCGCGCCGGGGCGUCGGGAUCACGACGGCGCUCGCUCGCUAGCUCGCACCCGCCAGCCCCCAGCACAGCGUAUUAUUUUUCUUCCCUGACGCAAGCUCUUUUCCCCGCUGUGCCAAACAUUCCCGCUGGGUGUCUGGAAGGAGGCAGAAGGGUACGUGCGAUCCAGCAGCACAAAGUUUUCCGAAAUCCGAGCACGAAUCGCCGCAGACACCGCCGCGUAGGCCUCGCGGGACGACAGACAUUACCACUCUAAUGCAUUUCUAGAAUGCAAAGCGUAAUAGAAAUAGCGUCCAUGAGAAAGACGAAUGUAGAUAAAUAUGACUCAGUGGACCAGAGAAAAGCCGGAAAGCAUGAAUUCCCGUAAAGACCCAGAUGUUUCCUGCCUCAGCCUCCUGAGCGCUGGGAUCACAACCGUGCACCACCACGCUCUGCUCUUUGACCCCCUCAUAAAGGGACCCGCAGCCGUUUAGUACCUGGCCUGCUCUGCGGGACUUUGGAGGCCUCCUGUACUGCGGACCAUACCUGGCGUUUGCUUUCUGCUCCACUCAGUAGGCACAGUUCCUCUGCCCCAGCCCCAUCAGCCCCUGCAGCUGGCCUGUCUCUGCCCUGACACCGGUGGGCUUGUGACCUCUCACACUGGGACUGUUUCUGACCAGAUAAGCAGCAUAUAUAAUACAUAAUGCAUAUAUAUAUAUAUAUAUAUAUAUAUAUACUACAUACGGUACUGAGUAUAUAUAAUGCCUGUAUAGAAUAUAAAGUCUUGUGUAUAAAAUACUGAGUAUAUUAUGUAUAAUGUUUAUCUGAUUAUUAAUAAAGCUGGGCAUGGUGACAGACACUUGUAAUUCUGCACUCAGGAAGCUGAGGCAGAAGGAUCAUGGAGAGUUCAAGAUCAUCCUGGGAUCUUGAAAGAGUUCAAGGUCAGCCUGAACUGCACAGCAAGACUGUGUCUCAAAAAAAAAAAUCUAGGCUGGGAGUGUCACUUGGUGGUAGACCACCGGCUUAGCCUCCAGAAAGUCCCAAAAUAAAUAAGUAAUUAAGUGUAAUGAGUAUAUUCAAAAAGACCCCUAAUAUCUAUUCUUUUGAGGACUUAGGGGGGUCUUUUAUUUGUUUUUUGAGACAAGGUCUCUAUAGUUCAUGCUAGCCUUGAAUGCACUAUAUAGCUGGUGAUCCUCCUGCUUCAGCCUCUGAGUUGCUGGGAUUACCGGUAUGCAUCACCAUAUCCGACUCCUAAACACUGAUUCUUCCCGAGAGCUCCUUUAGGCUGCUGUUCUAAAUCCCAAGAACUGAGUCAGGAGCCGAGUAUUCGAGUUUGGUGGCCAGUCAUUGGGAGUACAGGUGCCAUGGCUGAAGACUCAAUCCGAGGUGACAAAGUCCCCGCCAGGAGAGCAGCAGCGUGAGCAGCCACCUGUCCCCACUGCCCGCAGCCCACACAGCGUGAUCGUGGCCACGCUCCACGUACACUUACUGCAGAAGCAGAGACAACACAGUUCGGCUGCAAAUCAACACAGAGCAAAGGAGAGGAUCGAGCCGCAUGGAGCUUCAGGAAGACUUGCAUCCAAUCCCAGGAACUUUAGUCAGUGCUGAGGUUUUCUUGACUGCUUUUGCUUCCGUGCACCAGAAAGUCUCCGGGAGCAGGCUGAGCCGCGUGACAGGUUGGAAAAACAACUCUUUUGGACUCAGAAAUUUGACUGUGAAAGUUUUUGACUUUGGGAGAAACUUGUCAGAAGUCAAGAUUCUACAUCUACAAAAAUGAGUAUUUUCAGUCUGAUGGCACAGGCACAAGAGGAGCUGGGACCAGGACUCAAGAAGUAGCCAGGGGGCUGGGAUGUAGUUCAGCGGCACAGCACCUGCCUGACAAGCACAAGGUCCUGAGUUCGAUUCCUGGUGCCAAAAGUCAGUACACAAUCAGCCCCUGGCUUGGCUUGUGCUGCCUCCUUCCUUCAGUUGUCUGGAAAGCUCUGGGUCCUGGUGUUUAUGUUGCAGAAGAGAGAAAACAGCUGUAAAAUGCUUAAUGAGCCCGACUUCAAACACAGCCAUGCAGCGCGCUGAUUGGCACACAGUCUGCUCCAGCCGGGCUCCACAGUGCCCCGCCCCAAAAGCCCCAGUGCCACGGCCAAGUGGCCAGGCUGGACGGUUGGCUUGCCGGGCACACUAUCCCAGCCAGUGGCUCCUGGGGCCUUGCCACCUAGCGGUGGCACUAAGCGUGAACAUGGCAGUACACGGGACACCUCUGGGACACGGGGUUUUUAUUAAUGAGUGAUUUUUUUCAGAUGAGCUCAUGCCCAUGCGGGGUGGUUUGGCCAUGGACAAUUCUUUCUUUUUUUAAAAAAAUUUCUGUUUGCGGCUGGAGAUUUAGCUCAGCAGCAUAAGCGCCUGCCUUGCAAGCAGGCAGUCAUGAGUUCAAUCCUGAUAAAAAGGAAAAAGACCAAAAAAAAAAAAAAAAUUCUGUUUUUUUUUGAAGACAGAGUCUGUCACUAUGUAGCCCAGGCUGCCUUGAACUCAUGAUGUAGUCCAGGCUGGCCUCCAACUCACAGUAAUCCUCCUGCCUCGGCCUCCCAACUGGAGGCUGAUAAGGUUCAUAAGAAUUAGCUGCUUUUGUAAGGCCUCCAAGGAAAGACUCUGUGAAUGUUUGUGGCCUGCACUCAACCCCAUCUUCCUCUCAGUGUUUCUGAUGAAGGUAACACUUCGGGGAGAAGAGCCGCUGAACUCCAGGAUUUUAUAACUGGUACCUGUGGGGAGAAAUAUUUCAGGGAAAGGCAUAGAUUCCACCUGAAGCUUGGCUUCUCUACCUAUAGGGUUAUGAAGUUUCAGUGAGAAGAGAUACAUAAAAUCAAUGUUUUGGGUUUUUUUUGUUUUGGAGACAGGCUCUUUUUGUGUAGCUCAGGCCAGCCUUGAACUCCUAGCAACCCUCCUGCCUCAGCCUCCAGAGUGCUGGGAUUUCAGGCACUUACCACCGAGGCUUGAGAAGAGAUACACAAAGCCCCAGGCCCAGUGAAAAUAAAGCACGCAGGUGGGCAUGGCCAUAUGCUUGUGCAGUCCCAGCUAUUCGGGAGGCAAGAGGAUUGCUCGAACCCACGAGUUUGAGGCCUGAGCAACACAGAAAGACCCUGAUUCUAAAGCUAAAUAAAUAGUAGAGGGGCUGGGGAUUUAGCUCAGCGGCAUAAGCACCUGCCUUGCAAGCAGGCGGUGGUGAGUUUGAUCCCCAGUACCAAUAAAAAAGAAAAAGACAAAAAUAAAUACAUAAGUAAAUAAAUAGUAGAGCACUUGUGUCCUUACUCCGAAGCCAUGUUAUAAUCAUGGGCCUACAAGUUAGGAGAUGGCCCUGGUCAUUUUCAUCCGUCCAAGCUGCUCCCAAAGGGCGGGGUAUCCAACUGCUGCCUAGGGCGUGCGCAGCACCCCAUCCCAGACUGUACCCUAACAUUACCACCCUUCCCUCCGUCCCACAGCCUGCAGGCUCCGGGUUUCCGUGGUAACCCUGGAAGAUUAGGGAACCCCUCAUUAGGAGGCAGGGCCCCGGAGCUGUCCAACCUUGACCACCGGAUCAUCCGGAUUCACCCUCCCGCUGCAGGGCAGAGCUGGCUUCUGUUCCCAGCUGGCCCUGGACAUCCAGCGCCGAUUCUCAGUGCAGAGCAGGAGCUGGGACCCAGGACCACAGGACUCCCAGGUCCUUCGAUGUGGAGGCCCAGGGCCAGCGCAGCUUCUCUGGAAAAGCGUGUGGCUUGGAGCUCCCUGGGGUGCAGUGGUGAAUGCUCCAGGCUGCUCUAGGGCUCUGCCUGGAGAGAUUCCCGAGAGAGAGCCCACAGGGCUGGGACUUAGCCCCUUGUGAGACCACUUGUUCCAUUCUAAAUGGACACUCAGUUUGGCAUUGGACGUGACACCUUCUUUUCCUUAAAGUAGCACCACAGUGCUAGGCGUGGUGGUGCACACCUGUAAUCGCAGCACACCGCAGGCUGAGGCAAGGGGAUUGCUUCAAGUUUGAUACCAGCCUGGGCUGCACAGUGAGACCUUGUCCCAAAAAACAAAAGCAAACAACAAAAAAAGAGAAAGAAAGAGGCCAGGAAGAGAAGCAAGAAGCCAGUUUACCCUUCCUGUGAGCCAGCUGCCCCCCAGAAGCAACUGGUGGGUUCAGAGGAGCACAGGCUGAGUUGAUAGCAACCGAGGUGCAAAACCAACUUCAUACUUGUGUUGACUGAUUAACUUUGCAGGCCUACAGCCCGUAGUGUGAGCAGCUGUCUAGAGGAUAAUGAUAUGCAAUAUAUGCAAUAUGCAAUAUAACAAUAUGGGGGGUCUCCUGUCUUGUUUUUGAAAUCCGAUAUUGUUCUGUUUUAUUGUGUCCCAUUUUAUUGUUUUGUUUUCUUCAAUGUUCUGUUUUGAAUGGUUUCAUUCUGUUCUGGUUUGUUUCAUUCUAUUAUGUCUGAUGGGAUGGGCAGUAAUCCUGAAGAUAACAAGAGACAUUAUGGGAGCCCUGGUUUUGU